GCCAAGCGAUUCUCGGUUGAGAUUUGUCGUCUACAUGGGCUGCCAAAAACCAUUAUCUCAGACCGAGAUCCCCUAUUUAUCAGCACUUUCUGGAAACACCUAUUCAAGGCACAAGACACAACAUUAAAGUUCAGUUUUGCUUACCACCCGCAAACUGAUGGACAUACAGAAGUUCUUAAUCGAAGUUUGGAAGAUUACAUACGAUGCUUUGCGGGCGAACAUCCUCACACUUGGUUCCAAUAUCUUCAUCUAGCAGAACUUUGGCACAAUACGACUUACCACUCUGCCAUUGGAACCUCACUGUUCCAUGCUCUGUACGGAAGACAACCUCCCACCGCCCUAGAUCUGUUGCACAGUCCACGCUCAGGCACCACCGUUGCUGAUUUAUUGCACCAACACACGCUGGUUCUCCACGCCCUCAAACAAAACCUUCGUCGGGCUCGUCAACGAAUGUGCGACCAGGCCAACCGCC
Molecule: long non-coding RNA, 472 nt
Filed under: Phaseolus vulgaris (common bean)
Lineage: Eukaryota; Viridiplantae; Streptophyta; Magnoliopsida; Fabales; Fabaceae
Description: long non-coding RNA (PVUL_LNC000534)
Source: RNAcentral